Long non-coding RNA from Lytechinus pictus (painted urchin), 1926 nucleotides. RefSeq lists it as uncharacterized. NCBI's taxonomy places the organism in Eukaryota, Metazoa, Echinodermata, Echinoidea, Temnopleuroida, Toxopneustidae. The record is from RefSeq and is a predicted model, not a curated record. The transcript has 3 exons.
GGCGGAUAUGGUUCCGAUUAAAAACGAUAUCGGCCAUUUAAAACCAUAUCUGCCGGCGGAUACGGUAUCCGCCGGUGGAACCAAAUCCGCCGCUACACCGGCGGCGCGUUUCCGUUUUACACCCUGGCGAAGGCAAUCUCCGCAAAAAUAGCUACAAAGCGACUAGUGAAGAGUCUAAAGUUUGUUUACAUUAUCAGCUGGGCGCGCGAUGCAAAAGUCCGCAUCGAAGAUAUCUGCAGAACAUGUGCAAAUGCAGCUAAGCUUAUUACUAUUGUAAAGAUGGAAAGGGAUAACGAUGGUAGAUACCUUACAUUCGACUGUGAAUUAGAUGGAGUUAGAAUGAUAUUAGGAAAUGUUUAUUUCCAACUAGGAACAAGGCAAAUGAGCAAAUAGAAGAGUCCUGCAAAAGAUCAAUAUCAUUAUAAAUAAAAAUUCUCUCAGUCAUGUUAUUAUAUUAGGUGGUGAUUUUAAUAUGAUAUUAGAUGAUAAAUUAGAUGAUAAGGGGUCAACCAUACAGGUGAAAUCUAGAUUUAAUACAGAAUUUUUGGAGUUCAUGGACAAAUUUCAAUUAAUAGAUAUUUGGAGGAAAAUAUAUCCAGGAAAACAACAGUUUUCUUUAAGACAGAAGACACUCCCUAUUCAAAGUAGGCUAGAUUAUUGGAUAAUAUCAAAAGAAGUUGAAACAUUGGUGCUGGAAUAUGACAUUUUACCGUAACUCCAGACCAUUCUGGAAUCUUGCUUACCUGUAGUAGUGGAAAAAAAGAAGUGAAGCGAGGUCCUUCAUAUUGGAAAUUCAAUUAUUAUGAUAAAGAAUAUAUGUUCUGCUAUGAAAAAUGAGAUUCUUAGUUCAGUGGAAAAAGCAACACAGAAAUGUCUUUUCUAAUUACUCAUUGUUUUGGGGCUUUAUUAGAUUAAAGAUUAGAGAGUGUACUCGAAAAUAUUCUAAAGAAAAGGCACGAGAAAGAAAUAAGCUGAUUUUAGAGUCCAAAGUGAAAGACUUAUGGGGCGUUGCAAGAAAGUUAUGUUGCAAUUGAUUGCAAAUCGACUGCAACUUUGCAGCCGAUUCCGAUCGACUGCAACUAGCAAUCAAUCGCCAAUUUGCGUUGCAAGAAAAAGGCUUGCGAUUGAACGCAAGUUGCAGCUGACCUGCAGACGAUUUGCAGCUGUAAACAGGGUCUGCAGCACAAGACUAGCCGAAAAAGCAAAAUAAUGGCUUGCAACAAUCCUGUUUGUGGAAGAGAUUAUGACAAAGAAGUCUGGAACCUCAGAACCACCAUAACUGUGUCUGCUACAAUGUGUGUUCUUGCAACCAGCUGAUUGAUUCAUUUUAUCAACUCUUGAAUGGUUGAUUAUCAGAACUGAAUUCAGAGCUGCUCCUGUCUGUAGCAGGGGCCGCGGAACCGGGGGGGGGGGGGGCUGGGGGGGCUUCAGCCCCCCCCCCCCACUUUUUUCCAAAACCGUGUACAAAAACAUAAAAAUGACCAUAUGAUUGUUAUUUUUAGCAUGGUCAGCCCCCCCCCCACACUUUUGGCUCAGCCCCCCCACUUUGAAAACCGUUCCGCGGCCCCUGUGUAGUAACAUCAUUAUAAGAGUGGACUACAGAAUGAGGGCGUUGCUUGUUUAAAAACUUCACUCCAUGGAGCUCUCCAAAUUCAUCUCAAAUUAGACUGCUUCUGGAAACCAGAUUUGUUCCUUCAAGCAGAGACGCUUGUGGCUUUCCUGACUGGACUUCUAUGGAUUCUUCAUGCCAACCUUAAGAACUGUGGUCUUCUGCAUGAUACACAUCAAUUUCAAACAAGACAUUCUGUGGUGAAACACUUGAUGUAGAUGAUAUGAAAUUUAACUGAAUAUAACUGAAUCUCAGAAGUAAUUCCUCGGGAGCAAGAAACAUUGAAAAAUGAAAAUAAAAGGUCCAUCAAUAAUGAA